GUGCCAGCAGCCGCGGUAAUACGGGGGGGGCAAGCGUUGUUCGGAAUUACUGGGCGUAAAGGGCUCGUAGGCGGCCAACUAAGUCAGACGUGAAAUCCCCAGGCUCAACUUGGGAACUGCGUCUGAUACUGGUUGGCUUGAAUCCGGGAGAGGGAUGCAGAAUUCCAGGUGUAGCGGUGAAAUGCGUAGAUAUCUGGAGGAAUACCGGUGGCGAAGGCGGCAUCCUGGACCGGCAUUGACGCUGAGGAGCGAAAGCCAGGGGAGCAAACGGGAUUAGAUACCCCGGUAGUCCUGGCCCUAAACGAUGAAUGCUUGGUGUGACGGGUAUCGAUCCCUGUCGUGCCGAAGCUAACGCAUUAAGCAUUCCGCCUGGGGAGUACGGUCGCAAGGCUGAAACUCAAAUGAAUUGACGGGA
This 415-nucleotide ribosomal RNA is filed under the name uncultured Acidobacteriota bacterium. Its description in RNAcentral is "bacterial SSU rRNA". It matches the Rfam family "Bacterial small subunit ribosomal RNA", at positions 505 to 918 of the family's 1533-position model. The record is from RNAcentral. Lineage: Bacteria; Pseudomonadati; Acidobacteriota.